GAAGGUACUGCACGGGAGCAGGGUAAAUGCGAAGGGGGGGGGGGAUGUUCGGUGUCAUGAGGGGCAAAUGGCGCGUUGGCGGCUUGGGAAGUGUGAAUGGAAAACUCCAGGCGCAACCGGGAGCCGCCAUGCGAUACUGCUAUGGCUAGAGUCCGGUAGGGGGGUGUGGAAUUCCCGGUGUAGCGGUGAAAUGCGCGGAUAUCGGGAGGAACACCGAUGGCGAAGGCAGCACUCUGGGCCGGUACUGACGCUGAGGAGCGAAAGCGUGGGGAGCGAACAGGAUUAGAUACCCUUGUAGUC
RNAcentral lists this ribosomal RNA (300 nucleotides) under uncultured archaeon. Its description in RNAcentral is "partial 16S ribosomal RNA". The stretch from base 51 to 300 matches the Rfam family "Bacterial small subunit ribosomal RNA", at positions 547 to 795 of the family's 1533-position model. The record is from RNAcentral.